RNAcentral lists this ribosomal RNA (516 nucleotides) under uncultured bacterium. Its description in RNAcentral is "bacterial SSU rRNA". It matches the Rfam family "Bacterial small subunit ribosomal RNA", at positions 25 to 518 of the family's 1533-position model. The record is from RNAcentral.
CAGGACGAACGCUGGCGGCGUGCCUAACACAUGCAAGUCGAACGGGGAUUUGUUUCGGCAGAAUCCUAGUGGCGAACGGGUGAGUAACGCGUAGGCAACCUGCCCUCCGGCCGGGGACAACACUCCGAAAGGGGUGCUAAUACCGGAUACGAAGUCUGUGCCGCAUGGUACGGAUUUGAAAGAUGGCCUCUAUUUAUAAGCUAUCGCCGGGGGAUGGGCCUGCGUCCGAUUAGCUGGUUGGUGGGGUAACGGCCUACCAAGGCGACGAUCGGUAGCCGGUCUGAGAGGAUGAACGGCCACAUUGGGACUGAGACACGGCCCAGACUCCUACGGGAGGCAGCAGUGGGGAAUCUUCCGCAAUGGGCGCAAGCCUGACGGAGCAACGCCGCCGUGAGUGAGGAAGUUCUUCGGGACGUAAAGCUCUGUUGUUCCUGACGAACCUCCCUUCUAUCAACAACGGAGGGGACUGACGGUAGGGAACGAGGAAGCCACGGCUAACUACGUGCCAGCAGCCGC